AUGGCUCAGGAUGAACGCUAGCUACAGGCUUAACACAUGCAAGUCGAGGGGUAGCAGGGUAGCAAUACCGCUGACGACCGGCGCACGGGUGAGUAACACGUAUCCAACCUUCCCAUAACUCAGGGAUAGCCUUUACGAAAGAAAGAUUAAUACCUGAUAGUACUUUUUCAAGGCAUCUUGAGAAAGUUAAAGAUUUAUUGGUUAUGAUGGGAUGCGUUCCAUUAGAUAGUUGGUGAGGUAACGGCUCACCAAGUCUUCGAUGGAUAGGGGUUCUGAGAGGAAGGUCCCCCACAUUGGUACUGAGACACGGACCAAACUCCUACGGGAGGCAGCAGUGAGGAAUAUUGGUCAAUGGGCGAGAGCCUGAACCAGCCAAGUAGCGUGAAGGAAUGAAGGUCCUAUGGAUUGUAAACUUCUUUUAUAGUAGAAUAAAGUGAUCCACGUGUGGAUUUUUGUAUGUAUACUAUGAAUAAGGAUCGGCUAACUCCGUGCCAGCCGCCGC
RNAcentral lists this ribosomal RNA (502 nucleotides) under uncultured bacterium. Its description in RNAcentral is "bacterial SSU rRNA". It matches the Rfam family "Bacterial small subunit ribosomal RNA", at positions 19 to 518 of the family's 1533-position model. The record is from RNAcentral.